AGGGGGUUCUCUCUUCUUCUUCCUUCUCCUUCCUGGACACCAUUUUUAUUCUUUCUGCAACUCUUGCCUGAAUAUACUACCCUGAGCCAUAAAAUCUGACUUGAGCGUUGGAGGGCCUACACCGGGGCACCCCCCGGUAGGCCCCUGACCAUUCUUUCUUAUUUUACAGGUCCCUUCACCAGAUAGAACAUGGAGAGACCCGUUAGAGAGCCCAGCAAGAAGGGACCCAGAAGAAAACCAGAUCUAUCAUGGACCAGGAGGAGGAAAAGAUUUAUCA
This 277-nucleotide long non-coding RNA is filed under the name Manihot esculenta (cassava). Its description in RNAcentral is "long non-coding RNA (MESC_LNC006815)". The record is from RNAcentral. Lineage: Eukaryota; Viridiplantae; Streptophyta; Magnoliopsida; Malpighiales; Euphorbiaceae.